CCUCCUUAGCUCAGUCGGUUAGAGCAUCUGACUGUUAAUCAGAGGGUCGCUGGUUCGAGCCCAGCAGGAGGAG
RNAcentral lists this transfer RNA (73 nucleotides) under Apibacter sp. B3924. RNAcentral describes it as "tRNA-Asn". It matches the Rfam family "tRNA". From Rfam's summary of the family: Transfer RNA (tRNA) molecules are approximately 80 nucleotides in length. Their secondary structure includes four short double-helical elements and three loops (D, anti-codon, and T loops). Further hydrogen bonds mediate the characteristic L-shaped molecular structure. tRNAs have two regions of fundamental functional importance: the anti-codon, which is responsible for specific mRNA codon recognition, and the 3' end, to which the tRNAs corresponding amino acid is attached (by aminoacyl-tRNA synthetases). tRNAs cope with the degeneracy of the genetic code in two manners: having more than one tRNA (with a specific anti-codon) for a particular amino acid; and 'wobble' base-pairing, i.e. permitting non-standard base-pairing at the 3rd anti-codon position. Lineage: Bacteria; Pseudomonadati; Bacteroidota; Flavobacteriia; Flavobacteriales; Weeksellaceae. The record is from RNAcentral.